Molecule: ribosomal RNA, 253 nt
Filed under: uncultured bacterium
Lineage: Bacteria
Description: partial 16S ribosomal RNA
Rfam family: Bacterial small subunit ribosomal RNA
Source: RNAcentral
UACGAAGGGUGCAAGCGUUACUCGGAAUUACUGGGCGUAAAGCGUGCGUAGGUGGUCUGCUAAGUCUGAUGUGAAAGCCCUGGGCUCAACCUGGGAAUUGCAUUGGAUACUGGCAGGCUAGAGUGCGGUAGAGGGUAGUGGAAUUCCCGGUGUAGCAGUGAAAUGCGUAGAGAUCGGGAGGAACACCAGUGGCGAAGGCGACUACCUGGACCAGCACUGACACUGAGGCACGAAAGCGUGGGGAGCAAACAGG